UGGUGGAGUGAUUUGUCUGGUUAAUUCCGUUAACGAACGAGACCUCAGCCUGCUAAGUAGAUCGGAGUAGAGCUGAUUCGUUAGUUUUACUCUAUGGUAUGCAUCUUCGGGUGUGUAUCAGGUCUUCUUAGAGGGACUUUUGGUGUUUAGCCAAAGGAAGUUUGAGGCAAUAACA
This 175-nucleotide ribosomal RNA is filed under the name uncultured eukaryote. Its description in RNAcentral is "partial 18S ribosomal RNA". It matches the Rfam family "Eukaryotic small subunit ribosomal RNA", at positions 1299 to 1458 of the family's 1831-position model. The record is from RNAcentral.